AGUGAACGCUGGCGGCAGGCCUAACACAUGCAAGUCGAACGGCAGCACAGCAGUAGCAAUACUGUGGGUGGCGAGUGGCGGACGGGUGAGGAAUACAUCGGAAUCUACCUUGUCGUGGGGGAUAACGUAGGGAAACUUACGCUAAUACCGCAUACGAACUACGGUUGAAAGCGGCGGACUCGCAAGAGCGUCGCGCGAUUGGAUGAGCCGAUGUCCGAUUAGCUAGUUGGCGGGGUAAAGGCCCACCAAGGCGACGAUCGGUAGCUGGUCUGAUAGGAUGAUCAGCCACACUGGAACUGAGACACGGUCCAGACUCCUACGGGAGGCAGCAGUGGGGAAUAUUGGACAAUGGGCGCAAGCCUGAUCCAGCCAUGCCGCGUGUGUGAAGAAGGCCUUCGGGUUGUAAAGCACUUUUGUUGGGGAAGAAAAGCUACCGGUUAAUACCCGGGAGUUCUGACGGUACCCAAAGAAUAAGCACCGGCUAACUUCGUGC
This 493-nucleotide ribosomal RNA is filed under the name uncultured bacterium. Its description in RNAcentral is "bacterial SSU rRNA". It matches the Rfam family "Bacterial small subunit ribosomal RNA", at positions 29 to 508 of the family's 1533-position model. The record is from RNAcentral.